UACAGAGGUCCCGAGCGUUGUUCGGAUUCACUGGGCGUAAAGGGUGCGCAGGUGGGUUUGCAAGUUCGAUGUGAAAGCCCCGGGCUUAACCCGGGAAUGGCAUUGGAUACUGCAGAUCUGGAGGAUCGGAGGGGGGACUGGAAUUCUUGGUGUAGCAGUGAAAUGCGCAGAUAUCAGGAGGAACACCAACAGCGAAGGCAGAUCUCUGGGACGUAACUGACGCUGAGACGCGAAAGCGUGGGGAGCAAACAGG
This 253-nucleotide ribosomal RNA is filed under the name uncultured bacterium. RNAcentral's name for it is "partial 16S ribosomal RNA". It matches the Rfam family "Bacterial small subunit ribosomal RNA", at positions 524 to 776 of the family's 1533-position model. The record is from RNAcentral.